AUACGGAGGAUCCGAGCGUUAUCCGGAUUUAUUGGGUUUAAAGGGUGCGCAGGCGGCCAUUUAAGUCAGCGGUUAAAUCGUGGGGCUCAACCCCAUUCUGCCGUUGAUACUGGGUGGCUUGAUUGCGGUCGAGGUUGGCGGAAUUCGUUGUGUAGCGGUGAAAUGCAUAGAUAUGACGAAGAACACCGAUUGCGUAGGCAGCUGACCAGACCGCAAAUGACGCUCAUGCACGAAAGUGCGGGGAUCGAACAGGAUUAGAUUCCCUGGUAGUCCGCACAGUAACCGAUGAAUACUUGUUUUCGGCGAUAUAAUGUCGGAGGCAAAGCGAAAGCGAUAAGUAUUCCACCUGGGGAGUACUCCGGCAACGGUGAAACUCAAAGGAAUUGACGGGG
This 392-nucleotide ribosomal RNA is filed under the name uncultured bacterium. Its description in RNAcentral is "partial 16S ribosomal RNA". It matches the Rfam family "Bacterial small subunit ribosomal RNA", at positions 523 to 918 of the family's 1533-position model. The record is from RNAcentral.